This is a small nuclear RNA of Cyprinus carpio carpio, 107 nucleotides long. The record is from Ensembl. Lineage: Eukaryota; Metazoa; Chordata; Actinopteri; Cypriniformes; Cyprinidae.
GUGCUUGCUACGGUGGUACAUAUACUAAAAUUGGAUCGAUACAGAGAAGAUUAGCAUGGCCCCUGCGAAAGGAUGACAUGCAAAUCUGUGAAGCGCUCCAUCUUUUG